This 196-nucleotide small RNA is filed under the name Phyllobacterium sp. YR531. Its description in RNAcentral is "Rhizobiales sRNA Atu_C9". The stretch from base 1 to 93 matches the Rfam family "Rhizobiales sRNA Atu_C9". The record is from Rfam by way of RNAcentral. Lineage: Bacteria; Pseudomonadati; Pseudomonadota; Alphaproteobacteria; Hyphomicrobiales; Phyllobacteriaceae.
GGUUAACUGCAGGAGACAAGCGAUGGGACUAACUCGAUCGAUGAAUGUCCUUAUGAUCUGUGCAGCGUUCGCAUUUAUUGGUGCAAUGGUCGUAGGACUGAUACCUUGAAUUGAAAUAUGAGCGCUACGGAGAUGGUCUCUGACCGUUAAGCGAUGAAACAAAAUGAAACGGCCCGGUUAAAGCAACCGGGCCGUU